GUGCUCACUUCAGCCGCACAUAUACUAAAAAAAUUAGAACGAUACAGAGAAGAUUAGCAUGGCCCCUGCGCAAGGAUGACACACAAAUUUGUGAAGCAUUCCAUAAAAAAAAUUUAU
Molecule: non-coding RNA, 117 nt
Organism: Mus musculus (house mouse)
Lineage: Eukaryota; Metazoa; Chordata; Mammalia; Rodentia; Muridae
Source: Rfam